Long non-coding RNA from Ornithorhynchus anatinus (platypus), 535 nucleotides. RefSeq lists it as uncharacterized. NCBI's taxonomy places the organism in Eukaryota, Metazoa, Chordata, Mammalia, Monotremata, Ornithorhynchidae. The record is from RefSeq and is a predicted model, not a curated record. The transcript has 2 exons.
GUGGUAUAAAACUACAGACAGCAGGAUUCAGUGGGUUCAGGCAUGUAAAGUAAGAAGACUUUGGGAUAGACAUGAGUCUGAAAUGGAGUUGUGUCAGAAGUGGAAAGAGAAUUAUGUUACCAGAGGGGCAAAUGUCACCCAAGUGGAAAGAAGAAGAAAUGUACAUGCUGGUUAAUCACAAGAACCAGAGUCAAAUGUCUGAAGAAGGCAGCUGAAGAUGGGGAGGAAGACACUUCUGUGGGUUAUACUGAUAGUGGAAACUGUGUCCUUGGUACUUUGCUGAUAAACACAUCUGUCUCACUUUGUCUCUGGCUCUCAGGGGAGUAACAUUGACUCAUGACUUCAGGAUAAACUAGGAGUAAGGGAGAACAUUACAACACAGGCCCGUAAAGAGUGUAUCUAACAAAAGUUUGGGUAAUUUCUGGAGUGACUUUUCAAAAUGCGUGGGCUUGCUUGCUUAAAGGAAGGGUCAUUUUGCUUUAGUACUUGGAAACAGAAAUUGAAAAAUAAAUUCAAUUAUUACAUCGAGCUGAAA